UCCUUCUCAUCAAGACCUUUUGUCGGUCCAAGGCUGCAUCGAUCUGCUGUCUGCCUGGCCAAUGCAUCCUUAAACUUAUGGAUCUGUGGAAUCAUUAUUACCAUUGUAAUUGGAACAUGUAUCAUUAUUACCAUUGUAAUUGGAACAUGUAUCAUGAUAAACAUUGUGAAACAAAUCGAAAAAGAACAACCUAUAUUAUGCCAAUGUCAAAUAAGAUGCAAAACCAGUUGCAUCAGCUGAGCAGCAAUCUAUCUGUCA
This 258-nucleotide long non-coding RNA is filed under the name Gossypium barbadense (sea-island cotton). Its description in RNAcentral is "long non-coding RNA (GBAR_LNC022663)". The record is from RNAcentral. Lineage: Eukaryota; Viridiplantae; Streptophyta; Magnoliopsida; Malvales; Malvaceae.